This 553-nucleotide ribosomal RNA is filed under the name Karenia brevis. Its description in RNAcentral is "partial Bacterial large subunit ribosomal RNA". It matches the Rfam family "Bacterial large subunit ribosomal RNA", at positions 1289 to 1957 of the family's 2925-position model. The record is from RNAcentral. Lineage: Eukaryota; Dinophyceae; Gymnodiniales; Kareniaceae.
CGAGAAUGAUGACAUGAGUAGCGACAAAGAGUGUGAGAGACACUCUCGCCGAAAGUCCAAGGGUUCCUGCUUAAAGCUAAUCUGAGCAGGGUAAGCCGGCCCCUAAGCCGAGGCCGAAAGGCGUAGGCGAUGGGAACCACGUUAAUAUUCGUGGGCCAGAUGGAAGUGACGGAUUGUGAAGGUUGUUCCUCCUUAUCGGAUUGGAGGGGCCGCUGAUCAGUUCCUGGAAAUAGCUCCAUCAUCAGACCGUACCCUAAACCGACACAGGUGGACUGGUAGAGCAUACCAAGGCGCUUGAGAGAACGAUGUUGAAGGAACUCGGCAAAAUACCUCCGUAAGUUCGCGAGAAGGAGGCCCGGUUCCUAGGCAACUAGGGGCUGGGGGCACAAACCAGGGGGUGGCGACUGUUUAUUAAAAACACAGGGCUCUGCGAAGUCGCAAGACGACGUAUAGGGUCUGACGCCUGCCCGGUGCCUGAAGGUUAAAAGGAGGGGUGAGAGCUCUGAAUUGAAGCCCAGGUAAACGGCGGCCGUAACAAUAACGGUCCUAAGGU